Molecule: long non-coding RNA, 6690 nt
Filed under: Equus asinus (donkey)
Lineage: Eukaryota; Metazoa; Chordata; Mammalia; Perissodactyla; Equidae
Description: lncRNA (ENSEASG00005037899.1)
Source: RNAcentral
CUUGUCCCUCUUACUUAGCCUCCCAACAUUGGAUGUAACUGAUUUCUCUAUAUAUCAAGAAACACUUGCUUCUCCUGAUUUCCAGGACAGUGCAUGUUUCUGGUUUUCUUCCUCCUUAGUGAUUGUUACUUCUUGGUUUCCUUUGCUGGCUUCUUCUCCUCUACUCUACCUUUCUGUGUUGGAGUGCCCCAGCCCUCAGCCUUGGAUCCUCACCUCUUUUUCUCUAUAUAUUCUCUCUUUAGUUAUUUCAUCCAUUCCCCUGGUUUUAGAUCCUAGCUAUAUGCUGAUGUUUCUCAAAGUUAUAACUUCAGCCCUGACCCCUUCCUUGAGCUCCAAAUUCAUCUAUCCCAUGGCUUACAUGGCGUCUUUGUUUGGGUAUCUCAUAGGCAUUUUGAAACUAGCGUGUUCAAAACAUUGCUCCUGAUUCCCACCCCCACCUCCAACCUGUUUUUCCUCUGAGAUUUCCCAUAUGGCUUCUGGAUCUACCUGUUUACUUGAGCCAAAAACUUAGUAAUUAUUCUUUCUCUUUUUUUCUGUCCCCCUCCUUUCCUUCCACCACCCACAUAUCUGAUUUUGCUCUGAGGAUGUGUCCUGAGCAGUCUGAACCAAUCACAAUAGCCUAUACUCCUUGCUUGUGACUAGAACUAGAAGGGAUUAGUUUAGGUAUAUCAUGUGACUUAAUUCAGGUCAAUGAUACUAUGAGGUAAAGGUUUCUGGGGCUUCCAGGGGAACAUUUCCCUUUUGAAAAUGUCAGUCAGGAAACAUGUAGCUCACAUUUCCACUUUCCAGCACCCUAUGAUCACACUCAAAAAGAAUCAGCCUUAGGAUGAAGCUGACCUUCUGGAUGGCAGAAGGAAGAGGAAAGAACCUGGAUUGUAUAUGACGUAGUUGGUUGACUAGAUCACACAACGCUGAAACCCACCCUGCACCUGGAUUUCCAGUUCUGUGAGACCGUAUCCUUACUAUUUAAGCCACUUUGAAUUGGAUUAUCUAUUUCUUGCAGUUGAAAGCAAAUUUAUAGAUGCAAAGAGAAAGGCAGGUCCCCUGUGGAGAGUCGUGAAAUUCCUGAUGGCUGGGAACCUUCUUAGAUUCAGUUCCAGUUUCCAUGAGACCCUAUGAUUCCUAUUCUUGGAUUUCUAUAAGAUUCCUGGCUCUCCUAUAGCCCUCGCAGCAUACCUGAGCUGGCCUGACAGUUUCUUGUAACUAAAAGGAUAUAACUAAAAUGGGAGGUAAAAGAACUCAGCCCAUUGAGUACUUGACCCAUGUUACUUUCUCAACCCCUAUGUGUUUGUUUAUAUUAACUUUGUUUCUAAAGGAUUUAAGGCUUCUCUCAGUAAAUCUAGAGUCUUCUCUCCACAAAUGUCCAAUGAAUCUCAAGAAUCUUUGGAAAAACAAGUUCUUUGGAACCAAAAUGUUUAAGAAAAAUAGGGACUUCAGGGGAUCUAUCUUUCCGAUCUAAAUUCUUUCCUGAGCCUGUCUCCUCACCUCCCUCCUCUGCAGGAAGCUGACAUGUCAGCCAUCCGCGGGAAGCUGCUCUGGACCUUUGAGAGAAAGGCUCCAUUUAGAUUUAGCAAAACCCUUUCAUUCAGAGUCCUUGCAGAGAAGCACAGCAUAAAUGAGUGUAAGGCCUAAAUUAGAUAAUUUUUAAAAGAACAGUAGCUUCAUUAUGUUCAAGUACACAGAGUAACUCCAUCUCCGCCAUGAUGUUCCUUUGUAGAAGCCCUUCGGGACUUUCCUUAAUGAGUAGAUUAUAAUUAUUGGUAAUCAGCAUAAUGUUCUCUGCAAAGCGUGCUUCGAAAGCAGUUGAGCAUAUUAAGUGAUUUUGAUGUUCUGGGGGCAAUUUUGUUUAAAACAUUAAUCUUUUCAGUGUAUACCCUUUAUAGCCGUAACCCUCUGUUGUUUAAAAAGAAUUCUGAAGGCUCCCUCCAUCCUACAACAUUUGAUUAGCAGAGGCAGAAAUAAUGCAGGAGGAGAGGGAGGCAUAGUAGGACUCAGAUUCUUUACCUACGGGUGCCUGACAGGAUUGUGGGAACAGCUCAGGCUUGCAAACGAGGCCCGGUGCAAAGCCUGGCUCUGUCACCCACUAGCUAGGAUAAUAAGAACUUUACUGUCUCAGUUUCUCCUCUGUAAAAUGGGGAUAAUUUCUACUCUGCAGGGUUGAUUUGAACACUAAGUGACUAUUAAUUAAAGCUCUUAAUCCAGUAAGUACUUGAGAAAAGCUGGCCCCUUCUCCUCUAGGUCUCUUGGCCUGUGCCGGAGGCUCUCUUACCUCUUUAGUGUCACAGAGACUACAACCAGCCCUGGUAGUACCUCUUCAUUCUCUGCUGACCAAGCAGCAAAAGCUGGCCCCUUCUCCAGGCAAGCCCCUGCUUACCCACUGGAGACCAGUGGCGUCCCAGGUGGUGCUGUUCUGCUGCCAUAGUCUCUGUCCUCUCAUACCCGGGUCUGAGUAGACUAGAACAUUCCUAACCCUCUUUGCAGCCAAACGCGUUGGCUAAAAGGAGCUUUGUUUGCUGAGAGUUUGUUAUUGUUGAUUAUGAACAUUUAUUAAGAGCUUCCUAUGGGCCAGAAGCUAUGCUAAGCACCUUAGGUAGGAAGAUACUUCCGUCAGCUCAUCAAUUCUGAGAUGCAUUUUUCAAAAUUGUAGUGUAUCUAAAAUUGGCGUCAGUGUCAGCCACGCAGCAGUUGUGACAUCACUGCUGUCAUCGCUUGUGCAUGUGCAAAUUGAACACGCUCUUCACAUUGUCAUCAUUUCUGUUGAGCAAUAUGCACUGUUGAUACCACGUUAAAUGUACAUGCUGUUUACGAUGUCUUCGAAAAGAUUAUACUAUGGUUCAGUAUUGUAAUGAAAGGUUAUUUUGUACUUAGAAAGGCAAAGAAGCAGAGUGGGGGUUAAUUUUGGUAUGAGUGAAGCAAACGUUUGCCACUGGAGGAAUGAACAUGAGGCCAUAUUGUUUGCAAAGCAGCAACCAAGUGCUUUUCAGAACUAGGAAAGCAAGACCCUCACUAGUAAAUGAAGUUUUACCAACAUGCUGAAGUUCGUGCAAAAGGAUUGCCUAUCAAACCCCAAACGAGACCAAUGAAUGAAGAGGAAAUUGUCGCAUCCCUUGGCAUAGAUGGAAGAGAUUUUAAUGCAGUGAGAGGCCUAGUGUGACCAAUGCGGAGCACAGGACUAAUCGUGAAGGUGGGAACCAGUUGGCCAGGGACUCCAUGCUGACUUCGAACAGAAGCUGAUUAACUUCCAGGGAGAUGUGAUUCAAUACAGGAAAAAAAUGGAACUCGAAUUGAAGUCCAAAUGGAAAUGCUGAUGCAACUGGGUGCUCUUCAACGUGCCUCAGGGCCAGCCCCUGCGGCCCAGCGGUUAAGUUCAGCGUGCUCAGCUUCGCUGGCCUGGCUUCAGUUCCUGGACACGGACCUACACUGCUCUAUUAGUGGCCAUGCUAUACUGCUGGCCCACAUCGUAAAAAGUAGAGGAAGAUUGGCACCGAUAUUAGUUCAGAGUGAAUCUUCCUCAGCAAAACAAUACAAAACAAAACAACCCCCACCAAAACAUGCCUCAAAUGCCUCUGAAUCUAGAAAAGGUGUAAAGUGCUUUUUGGAUAAGUAUAUGUUUUAAGGAUACUGGGAUUUGUUUUAACUGGACAUGGUAAGACACAGACAAGGAAAUGAGUGUCAUGAAGAAAGAAGUUUGUUGUACUCACCAGUCUCGAGCAGUAGGAGGCACAGCAAGCCACGCAGGGCCACGCGAGAAAGCACCUGGGUCAAUGCAGAGGCAGAGGGAGUGAGGGCAAGUGUGGGAAGAGCCUUUAUUGUGGUCUCUACAAGGAGCAGGGAGGGCAGGGGGCAUAGGCUUGGGACUGGCUAAUUUCAAUAAUUUUGGUGGGCUCUGAGACAUAGGGGCUGUCCCUACUUGUCUGAUACCUGGCUCUCGGGGGAUUAGGGCAACUGGAUAGUGGCCCAGAGUGUGAGACUCCCAUAAAGGAGGUGGGUGGGGUGUUGGCUCUGGAUUGGCUUGUUGCACAUGAAGGUGCCCUCCCAGGCGAGCUGUUUGCCGUCUCUAGGAAUUAGUUAACCCUGGGAGGGGCUAGUCCCUACAGGCUCAGCAAGGCCCCAGGAUGUCAAAGCAACAGAAAGUAAAAGGCAUGGCUAAUACAAUAUAAAAUAGUAAUUCCAAGUAAAAAAAAGCAUUGUCAUGGUUUAAUUAUCUGGGUUCUUUUUCGUUAGUGACACGUUGUGGUAGCCAGCCUCCAAGAUGGCUCACAACGAUCCCACCUCCUAGGUUCGUGCUCUUAUGUAUCAGGAUUGGUGUCUGUGACCAAUGAAACACAGUGGAAGUGAUGGUGUGUCAUGUUCAAGGCUAGGUUAUCGAAGACAUUUUAAGGCUGGGCUUCUGCACCCACCUUGCUCCCUUCCUUGAAUCAUUCACCUAGGGGAAACCAGCUGCCAUGUCGUAAAGACGCUUAGAUGACCUUCUGGAGAGACCUGUUUAGUGAGGAACUGAGGCUUCCUGCCAAUGGCCAUGUGAGUGAGAGUUUGGAAUGGGAUCUUCCAGGCCUGCCCAGGAUCACUGCAGCCUCAUGAGAAGCCCUGAGGGAGGACCACCCAGGCAAGCCGCGCCCAGAUUCUCGACUCUCAGAAAUUGCAAAGAUGCCUUGCUGUCUCUCUGGCUCAGCCUUCCCACCAUCACUAAAGCUGCCAGUUAACCAGUCUUUGAGUGUGGCUUCAGGAAGACAGAGCUACGUGUUGGACUGCUUCUUUGUGGAGCCCACUGCUUCUCCAUGUAACGUUUCAGCACUCUGCAGAGAGCACUUACAGCGCCCUGGAGCAGCUGUCCGAAACCGCGUUCGCUCUGGCGGCGGAAGCCGGUUCCAGCUCUUCUCCAUUCCAUUCGCUUCCUGAGACCAGAGAUCUGGUCUCCAGCCACUGGUUCUCUUCCAGGCUUAGAAAUCAACUUCCCGGGAGUGGAAGAAGAGACUGUCUCUUAGCUUUAAUUAAUUGUUGAAAGAAUAGAGAGGAGUCUAUAGUUCUAGAAGGAAAAAAGGGAGGAAUGGAAAUUUUCUGGACAGGGGACAAAGAAGUAAAAGAAAGAUAAUUUUCCAACUCACUCUCUUCACCCUAGUCUUUAAAAGGUUUUGUUGGGUGUUAUGAGGUUUGAAAUCUAUCUUUAGGGAGGGAUGUGUUACUCAAAAGAAAUUGCCUCUAGAUUGUUUUCCCAAGUCAGUCAUUUAAAAAAUAUUUUAAUGUCAUUCUGCUUAAAUUUUUUAAACAGUGAAGUUUACCUGCAAAGUACUUCUCAACUCAGGGUAGGAUAGGGGUAAAUUUGAGGUAGUAAGUGUGUUAGAAUCUUGAGGUAGGUUUCCUUUGAAAAAAACAAGUAGGUAUCAUUUUUAUUGGGAAAAUGAAAAAAUGCGUAAGUUUUCACAUUACAAACUGAGGAGAGUUUGAAAAAAAAUCUGAUGAGGUUAUGCAGAAGACACAGGGAUUCAUGAUUGGGACACAUCCCUUCAAAACCUUGGAGGAACAGGAGAUUUUCCUGGUUAUCAAAUAGGGGGAUGAGUUUUAGAAGGCUGAAAAGCAUUUAGAAGAAUGUUGCGUUUCCUAAAAAGGCAGAAUGAGGAAGCUGGUAGACGAUUCCAGAACAUUCUGUGGGUCUCAUGAAGAGAAGAUUCAGGGAAGGGCAGGCAGCAAGUCCAAGGUCAGGAAAGAUGAGAGACACAAAAUGGACCUGUAACUGCAAAGGUUCCAUUGUCUUCUGAGUUUCUGUUUAUAAUUUUGCAGUGAGUAAUUUUAAGAAGGAAAAAAUCCCCAUAGAACUGAACACAUGCAGAUGAAAACUUAUGAAUGGCAAAAAGAUAUCAAAACAAAAUCAAAUAACACAUGUAUCAAAGGAAUGAUUUCCUUAGUAGAAAACAUUUUUAAAAUUAUAUAUAAUUUUGAUAUUUUUGUUCAUCAAAAGAUGAACAACCCCAAAGAAAAAAUGGGCAAAGAAUGUUAUUAGCAGGAUGUUCAAAGAAAAAAUAAAUACACAUGGUCAACAACUAUAGGAAACAUGCUUAUAAGAUUUACUUUUCACCCAUCAGAUUAGCUAAGGUUAAAAAUGUUCAUUGACCCAGGGUUGUCAAGAAUGUGGGGUGCUCUCACCCGCUGUAGGUGGGAGAGUGAGUUACCAGAUUUCUUGAAAGACAAACAGCAAUGUCUUAGUAAAUAUGCAUAUCUUUUAACCCAGUUAAAUUCUAUGGAUCAAGGCAAAACAUUUGCGUAUGUGAGCAAAGCAUGUGUACGAGGCUAUUUCACUGCAGCUUUUUGAUUAUGAAAAAGUGGAAACUACUAAAUGUGCAUCAAUAGAGGACUAAAUAAAUUAUAAAUGUCCACUAAAUGGGCUCUGAUAUAACUGUUGAAAAUAACGCGCCAGAUCCAUAUGUAUUGAUUUGGAAAACUCUCUGAGACAGACUAAUUGAACAACUGUUUAGUGGGAUGCUAUAUUUUGUAAAAAACUAAACUGAAAUCUAUACUGAAGUUGAAGUCAAUAUAGAUGUAAAUACUUACUCGCUCGUAGCGUCAGAGAACACUUUGAAAGCAUACGGAAGGUGCUAUCAAGGAUGGCUGCCUCUGGGGGGCCCGGGAGGGAGGGAAGGUGAACAUUUACUCUUUAGCUCGUUCCCUUUGUCUCUGUAAGUCUUUCGCUGUGAG